GAUGAACGCUGGCGGCGUGCCUAACACAUGCAAGUCGAGCGAACGGACGAGAAGCUGUCUUCUCUGAUUUUAUCGGCGGACGGGAGAUUAACACGUGGAUAACCUACCUCUACGACUGGGAUAACUUCAGGAAACCGGAGCUACUGCCCGAUGAUUUUUUGAACUUCAUGGUUCCAACGUUAAAGACGCUCUUGCUUUCGCUUAUAGCUUGAUCCGCGCUGCAUUAGCUAGUUGGCAAGGAAGCGGCUUAACAAGGCAACGAUGGAUACCCGACCUGAAAGGGUGAUCGGACACACGGGAACUGAGGAAGGUCACAGACUCCUACGGGAGGCAGCGGUAGGGAAUCUUCCGCGAGGGGCGAAAGGCUGACGGAGGAACGCCGGGGGAGUGAUGAAGGACUUAGGCUCGGAGAACUCUGUUAGUAGGGAAGAACAUAAGUGUAAGUAACUGUGCACAUCUUGACGGUACCUAAACAGAAAGCCACGGCUAACUACGUG
This 497-nucleotide ribosomal RNA is filed under the name uncultured bacterium. Its description in RNAcentral is "partial 16S ribosomal RNA". It matches the Rfam family "Bacterial small subunit ribosomal RNA", at positions 28 to 507 of the family's 1533-position model. The record is from RNAcentral.